CUACGGGCGGCUCCAGUGAGGAAUAUUGCACAAUGGGGGGAACCCUGAUGCAGCAACGCCGCGUGGAGGAUGACGCAUUUCGGUGUGUAAACUCCUUUUAUAUGUCAAGAAAAUGACGGUAGCAUAUGAAUAAGCACCGGCUAACUCCGUGCCAGCAGCCGCGAUAAUACGGAGGGUGCAAGCGUUACUCGGAAUCACUGGGCGUAAAGGACGCGUAGGCGGGUUGGAAAGUCAGGUGUGAAAUCCUACAGCUUAACUGUAGAACUGCACUUGAAACUUCUAAUCUAGAGUAUGGGAGGGGGAGAUGGAAUUAGUGGUGUAGGGGUAAAAUCCGUAGAUAUCACUAGGAAUACCUAAAGCGAAGGCGAUCUCCCGGAACAUUACUGACGCUAAGGCGUGAAAGCGUGGGGGGCAAACAGGAUUAGAUACCCUGGUAGUC
RNAcentral lists this ribosomal RNA (439 nucleotides) under uncultured bacterium. Its description in RNAcentral is "partial 16S ribosomal RNA". It matches the Rfam family "Bacterial small subunit ribosomal RNA", at positions 339 to 795 of the family's 1533-position model. The record is from RNAcentral.